GCCCUUAGAGUUUGAUCCUGGCUCAGGAUGAACGCUGGCGGCGUGCUUAACACAUGCAAGUCGAACGGGAUCCAUCAGGCUUUGCUUGGUGGUGAGAGUGGCGAACGGGUGAGUAAUGCGUGACCGACCUGCCCCAUACACCGGAAUAGCUCCUGGAAACGGGUGGUAAUGCCGGAUGCUCCGACUCCUCGCAUGGGGUGUCGGGAAAGAUUUCAUCGGUAUGGGAUGGGGUCGCGUCCUAUCAGGUAGUCGGCGGGGUAACGGCCCACCGAGCCUACGACGGGUAGCCGGCCUGAGAGGGCGACCGGCCACAUUGGGACUGAGAUACGGCCCAGACUCCUACGGGAGGCAGCAGUGGGGAAUAUUGCACAAUGGGCGCAAGCCUGAUGCAGCGACGCCGCGUGCGGGAUGACGGCCUUCGGGUUGUAAACCGCUUUGAUCGGGAGCAAGCCUCNGGGAAGUGUACCUUCGAUAG
Molecule: ribosomal RNA, 475 nt
Filed under: uncultured bacterium
Lineage: Bacteria
Description: bacterial SSU rRNA
Rfam family: Bacterial small subunit ribosomal RNA
Source: RNAcentral